RNAcentral lists this ribosomal RNA (343 nucleotides) under uncultured Lachnospiraceae bacterium. RNAcentral's name for it is "partial 16S ribosomal RNA". Lineage: Bacteria; Bacillati; Bacillota; Clostridia; Lachnospirales; Lachnospiraceae. The record is from RNAcentral.
GGAGUCUGGGCCGUGUCUCAGUCCCAAUGUGGCCGUCCGCCCUCUCAGGCCGGCUACUGAUCGUCGCUUUGGUAGGCCGUUACCCUGCCAACUGGCUAAUCAGACGCGGAGCCAUCUCACACCGAUAAAUCUUUUCCCGCUGCACCAUGCGAUGCUGUGGGCUUAUGCGGUAUUAUCAGUCGUUUCCAACUGCUAUCCCCCUGUGUGAGCCAGGUUCUCCACGCGUUACUCACCCGUCCGCCACUAAGUAUGAUUUCCGUCCGAAAACUUCCAUCAUACUCCGUUCGACUUGCAUGUGUUAGGCACGCCGCCAGCGUUCAUCCUGAGCCAGGAUACAACUACU